AUGGCGGCAUCGGCAGCCCACGUCGCGGCGCUGGCCGCCGUCCUCCUCUUCAUCCCUUCCCUCCUCGCCACUGUCGCCGCGCAGCAGGGCAAGGCCAAGGCCUUCUGCAUCAGCCAGUUCGCCAUCGCCAGUCAGGCCUGCUCCAUCCUGCCGCCCAGCCCCCCGGAGGACGACCAUCACCACCACCACGACGAUGAUGAUGACGACGACGACGACGAUGAUGAUGACGACGACGACGACGAGCACCAUGGCGGUGACGGUGACCGCCGCCUCCGUGGACGCCAUGGCCACGCGGCGGUCAUCAACAUCUCGUCCCUUGGCCUGAUGGCGGCAAACAAUGACAGCAACGGCGUUCACGUUGCAAGAAACGGCACCGGUCACCAUGGUGGCAACCACACCCGCCACGGGCGCGGGCGCAGACGCGGGCGCGGGCGUCUUCGUGGUACUGGACACGGCCGGCGUGGGCGUGUGCGCGACGGUAAUGAGGACCCCGACCAUGACGACGACCACGAGGAGGACCCCGACCAUGACGACGACCACGAGGAGGACCCCGACCACGACGACGACCAUGACGACGAACAUGACGACGACGACGACGACGAUGACGACGACGACCACGAGCACAAUGACGACGACCACGAGCACCACCACGACGAGGAGCUCCGGGCGUACCGCGACUGCUGCCGGUGGCUCCAGGAGGUGCAGAAGGACUGUGUGUGCGAGGCGCUCCUGCGGCUGCCGCCGUUCCUCGUAAAGCCACAGCACAAGUACGUCGUCCGGGUUGGGCGGACGUGCCGGAUCGUCUACCGCUGCGGCGGCGUGUAG
RNAcentral lists this ribosomal RNA (825 nucleotides) under Triticum aestivum (bread wheat). RNAcentral's name for it is "partial small subunit ribosomal RNA". The record is from RNAcentral. Lineage: Eukaryota; Viridiplantae; Streptophyta; Magnoliopsida; Poales; Poaceae.